GUGGGGAAUAUUGGACAAUGGGCGAAAGCCUGAUCCAGCCAUGCCGCGUGUGUGAAGAAGGUCUUCGGAUUGUAAAGCACUUUAAGUUGGGAGGAAGGGCAUUAACCUAAUACGUUAGUGUUUUGACGUUACCGACAGAAUAAGCACCGGCUAACUUCGUGCCAGCAGCCGCGGUAAUACGAAGGGUGCAAGCGUUAAUCGGAAUUACUGGGCGUAAAGCGCGCGUAGGUGGUUCAGUAAGUUGGAUGUGAAAUCCCCGGGCUAAACCUGGGAACUGCAUCCAAAACUGCUGAGCUAGAGUACGGUAGAGGGUGGUGGAAUUUCCUGUGUAGCGGUGAAAUGCGUAGAUAUAGGAAGGAACACCAGUGGCGAAGGCGACUACCUGGACUGAUACUGACACUGAGGUGCGAAAGCGUGGGGAGCAAACAGGAUUAGAAACCCUAGUAGUCC
This 450-nucleotide ribosomal RNA is filed under the name uncultured bacterium. RNAcentral's name for it is "partial 16S ribosomal RNA". It matches the Rfam family "Bacterial small subunit ribosomal RNA", at positions 354 to 796 of the family's 1533-position model. The record is from RNAcentral.